CCUACGGGAGGCAGCAGUGAGGAAUCUUGGUCAAUGGACGGAAGUCUGAACCAGCCAUGCCGCGUGCAGGAAGACGGCUCUAUGAGUUGUAAACUGCUUUUGUACAAGGGUAAACCUGAAUACGUGUAUUCAGCUGAAAGUACUGUACGAAUCAGGAUCGGCUAACUCCGUGCCAGCAGCCGCGGUAAUCCGGAGGAUCCAAGCGUUAUCCGGAUUUAUUGGGUUUAAAGGGUGCGUAGGCGGAUUGAUAAGUUAGAGGUGAAAGGUUCGGGCUUAACUCGGGAACUGCCUCUAAUACUGUUAAUCUAGAGAGUAGAUGCGGUAGGCGGAAUGUAUGGUGUAGCGGUGAAAUGCUUAGAGAUCAGACAGAACACCGAUGGCGAAGGCAGCUUACCAAUCUAUAUCUGACGUUGAGGCUCGAAAGCGUGGGGAGCAAACAGGAUUAGAUACCCUUGUAGUC
Molecule: ribosomal RNA, 460 nt
Filed under: uncultured bacterium
Lineage: Bacteria
Description: partial 16S ribosomal RNA
Rfam family: Bacterial small subunit ribosomal RNA
Source: RNAcentral